GCCUGCGUGCAUUCAAGUUUCCAGCAAGGACCGGCGCGAGCUGCUGCGUCCUUGCCACAACCCGGUCCAGGAAUGCCCCGCCUCUGGAAUGCCUGGCCACACCCCUGUCGUGCCCCUCCCAGCCCCAUUGGCGCUACGCCACAGUUUGAAUCCCACCACCAUGGGAACCU
This is a long non-coding RNA of Sphaerodactylus townsendi, 170 nucleotides long. RefSeq lists it as uncharacterized. The record is from RefSeq and is a predicted model, not a curated record. Lineage: Eukaryota; Metazoa; Chordata; Lepidosauria; Squamata; Sphaerodactylidae. The transcript is spliced from 3 exons.